RNAcentral lists this transfer RNA (75 nucleotides) under Klebsiella pneumoniae. RNAcentral describes it as "tRNA-Phe". It matches the Rfam family "tRNA". From Rfam's summary of the family: Transfer RNA (tRNA) molecules are approximately 80 nucleotides in length. Their secondary structure includes four short double-helical elements and three loops (D, anti-codon, and T loops). RNAcentral also lists the same sequence under 1 other name. Lineage: Bacteria; Pseudomonadati; Pseudomonadota; Gammaproteobacteria; Enterobacterales; Enterobacteriaceae. The record is from RNAcentral.
GCCCGGAUAGCUCAGUCGGUAGAGCAGGGGAUUGAAAAUCCCCGUGUCCUUGUUCGAUUCCGAGUCCGGGCACCA